AGAGUUUGAUCCUUUCUCAGGAUGAACGCUGGCGGCGUGCUUAACACAUGCAAGUCGAACGGGAAUUACUUUAUUGAAACUUCGGUCGAUUUAAUUUAAUUCUAGUGGCGGACGGGUGAGUAACGCGUGGGUAACCUGCCUUGUACAGGGGGAUAACAGUCAGAAAUGACUGCUAAUACCGCAUAAGCGCACAGGACCGCAUGGUCCAGUGUGAAAAACUCCGGUGGUAUAAGAUGGACCCGCGUUGGAUUAGCUGGUUGGUGGGGUAACGGCCUACCAAGGCGACGAUCCAUAGCCGGCCUGAGAGGGUGAACGGCUACAUUGGGACUGAGACACGGCCCAGACUCCUACGGGAGGCAGCAGUGGGGAAUAUUGCACAAUGGAGGAAACUCUGAUGCAGCGACGCCGCGUGAGUGAAGAAGUAUUUCGGUAUGUAAAGCUCUAUCAGCAGGGAAGAUAAUGACGGUACCUGACUAAGAAGCACCGGCUAAAUACGUGCCAGCAGCCGCGGUAAUACGUAUGGUGCAAGCGUUAUCCGGAUUUACUGGGUGUAAAGGGUGCGUAGGUGGCAGAUCAAGUCUGGAGUAAAAGGUAUGGGCUCAACCCGUACUGGCUCUGGAAACUGAUCAGCUAGAGAACAGAAGAGGACGGCGGAACUCCAUGUGUAGCGGUAAAAUGCGUAGAUAUAUGGAAGAACACCGGUGGCGAAGGCGGCCGUCUGGUCUGGAUUCUGACACUGAAGCACGGAAAGCGUGGGGAGCAAAUAGGAUUAGAUACCCUAGUAGUCCACGCCGUAAACGAUGAGAACUAGGUGUUGGGGGAAUAACUCAGUGCCGCAGUUAACGCAGUAAGUUCUCCGCCUGGGGAGUAUGCACGCAAGUGUGAAACUCAAAGGAAUUGACGGGGGCCCGCACAAGCGGUGGAGUAUGUGGUUUAAUUCGAAGCAACGCGAAGAACCUUACCAGGCCUUGACAUCCUGCUGACCGGUGAGUAAUGUCACCUUUCCUUUGGGACAGCAGAGACAGGUGGUGCAUGGUUGUCGUCAGCUCGUGUCGUGAGAUGUUGGGUUAAGUCCCGCAACGAGCGCAACCCCUAUGUUCAGUAGCCAGCAUUUAGGAUGGGCACUCUGGACAGACUGCCGGGGAUAACCCGGAGGAAGGCGGGGAUGACGUCAAAUCAUCAUGCCCCUUACGGCCUGGGCUACACACGUGCUACAAUGGCGUAAACAAAGGGAAGCAAGAGGGUGACCUGGAGCGAAUCCCAUAAAUAACGUCCCAGUUCGGACUGUAGUCUGCAACCCGACUACACGAAGCUGGAAUCGCUAGUAAUCGCGAAUCAGAAUGUCGCGGUGAAUACGUUCCCGGGUCUUGCACUCACCGCCCGUCA
RNAcentral lists this ribosomal RNA (1386 nucleotides) under uncultured bacterium. RNAcentral's name for it is "bacterial SSU rRNA". It matches the Rfam family "Bacterial small subunit ribosomal RNA". The record is from RNAcentral.